GAUGAAGAACGCAGCGAAAUGCGAUAAGUAAUGUGAAUUGCAGAAUUCAGUGAAUCAUCGAAUCUUUGAACGCACAUUGCGCCCGCCAGCAUUCUGGCGGGCAUGCCUGUUCGAGCGUCAUUUCAACCCUCGAGCCCCCCCGGGGGCCUCGGUGUUGGGGGACGGCACACCAGCCGCCCCCGAAAUGCAGUGGCGACCCCGCCGCAGCCUCCCCUGCGUAGUAGCACACACCUCGCACCGGAGCGCGGAGGCGGUCACGCCGUAAAACGCCCAACUUUCUUAGAGUUGACCUCGGAUCAGGUAGGAAUACCCGCUGAACUUAAGCAUAUCAAAGCGGAGGA
RNAcentral lists this unclassified non-coding RNA (341 nucleotides) under soil metagenome. Its description in RNAcentral is "partial contains 5.8S ribosomal RNA, internal transcribed spacer 2, and large subunit ribosomal RNA". The stretch from base 1 to 120 matches the Rfam family "5.8S ribosomal RNA", at positions 35 to 154 of the family's 154-position model. The record is from RNAcentral.